UACGUAUGGUGCAAACGUUGUUCGGAAUCACUGGGCCUAAAGAGCGCGUAGGCGGCCAAGCAAGUCAGAUGUGAAAUACCUCGGCCUAACCGAGGAACUGCAUUUGAAACUGCAUGGCUUGAGUACAGGAGGGGAGAGUGGAAUUCCUGGUGGAGCGGUGAAAUGCGUAGAUAUCAGGAGGAACGCCGGUGGCGAAAGCGGCUCUCUGGUCUGUUACUGACGCUGAGGCGCGAAAGCUAGGGGAGCAAACGGG
Molecule: ribosomal RNA, 253 nt
Filed under: uncultured bacterium
Lineage: Bacteria
Description: partial 16S ribosomal RNA
Rfam family: Bacterial small subunit ribosomal RNA
Source: RNAcentral